AGCCUUUUGUAUUUGAGCUGACAUUCUGUCAGUAACCAGUUCAUCAGAGCUGAUACAGCUCCCCAAAUAAGUAAAGUG
This 78-nucleotide microRNA precursor is filed under the name Trichobilharzia regenti. RNAcentral's name for it is "mir-3492 microRNA precursor family". It matches the Rfam family "mir-3492 microRNA precursor family". The record is from Rfam by way of RNAcentral. Lineage: Eukaryota; Metazoa; Platyhelminthes; Trematoda; Strigeidida; Schistosomatidae.